This 72-nucleotide transfer RNA is filed under the name Stegodyphus mimosarum. It matches the Rfam family "tRNA". From Rfam's summary of the family: Transfer RNA (tRNA) molecules are approximately 80 nucleotides in length. Their secondary structure includes four short double-helical elements and three loops (D, anti-codon, and T loops). Lineage: Eukaryota; Metazoa; Arthropoda; Arachnida; Araneae; Eresidae. The record is from Rfam by way of RNAcentral.
GCCUUCGUGGUGUAACGGUAGCACACUCGGCGCGUAUUCGAGAGGUCAGGGAUUCGAGUCCCGUCGCAAGUA